Molecule: long non-coding RNA, 3585 nt
Organism: Mustela lutreola (European mink)
Lineage: Eukaryota; Metazoa; Chordata; Mammalia; Carnivora; Mustelidae
Exons: 2
Source: RefSeq, a predicted model, not a curated record
AACAACAACUGUCUGCAAAUGACAUAAGACUUACAAGUGGCUGUGCAUAAAGAUCUGAUGAGAGUUCAUUAUAAUGCAUUUGACAAGAGAAUUUGAUUAUUUCUGUGACAUCAUUUUUUAAAAUAUUUCAUUUCUUUAAGUAAUCUCUACACUCAACGUGCGGCUUGAACUCAUGACCCGGAGAUCAAGAGUUACAUGCUCUUCUGGCUGAGCCAGCCAGGCACCCCACUGUAACAUCACUUCUAAAAUAACUAAAAUUGUUAUAGGAGGAGGUAGUUGAGAGGACGUGACUGCCAGUUGACCCACAAACUGGACCUGGACAAUUAGCGGCUCCUAACCUGCUCCCCUAUCGUUGGAAUGUACAUUCUGUUCACCAUUCUCACAGUAGGAGCUGUUUUCAAGGAUGCAACCUUGAGAGAGCAGUGUGGUAGGAGCUGUUUUCAAGGAUGCAGCCUUGAGAGAGCAGUGUGGUAGGAGCUGUUUUCAAGGAUGCAGCCUUGAGAGAGCAGUGUGUUGCUGAGUCCAUCUGGAAGGAAUAUGUGAGUGAUGCAGUUAACUAAAUAAACUUGUAAGGCUCUGAUGGUUGGUUGCAGAGAUUUACUCAUCCUUUGACUGCCCAGGACAAGUCUUACAUGUUAAAAAAAAAAGUGAAGCCAAUGGAAAACUUCAACAAACCAAUCCAGGCAGGACUACUAAUGGCCUUCAGGAAUGAAAGAGUUACCCUGCCUGCUAAAGAACAAUGACCAGCUGAGGUAAGUGUUCAUUGAAGGCAAAGGGAAUACUGAAUGGGUAUUAGAAGACCUUCUUCUAAUAUUUAUUUAUACCACCUACUUAUAGGUGGUAUAAAUACCACCUACAACCACAUGACGAGUUACAGAAAUGACUCUAAUAGUGAUGAAUAUUUCCUCAUUUUGUCAUAAACAUGUUUGUGUGCAUAUAUACACGUAAAGAAGCAAAUAUCUUUGUUUCUUAUUCCAUUAUCAUGAAUUGACUUUAUAUUAGUUUUUAAGUAUUGCUAAUUUUACAUCAUAGUAUUUAAGUUACAGGAUAUCAGAAGGGUAAACACCACUCAAGGACUCUACCUCAUCUUCUGGAGAAGGGAUUAAUACAUGUUCAGUUAAAUGCAGGAGAGCUGUGUCCUGUUUGGUAGAAUUCUGACCUUGUUUAUUGUCUUUAUUUGGAGAUUAAGUAUAGUUUAAGGAGAUAUGUGUUGGUGACAAAUUGACAGGUGGUGAACUUAUGUUAGUUUUAUGUAUCAUCAUAACAGGGCUACAGGAUACUCUGUUGGUAAAACAUUAUUUCUGGGUGUGUCUAUGUGGAUGUUUCCAGAGUAAUUAACAUAUGAAUUGGUAGACUGAGUAAAGACCACCCUCACUAAUGUGGGUGGGCAUCAUCCAAUCCAUUGAAGGCCUAAAUAGAACAGUCAGAGGAAGGGCAAAUUUAAUCUUUGCUUCAGUUUUGCUUGAGUUGGAAUAUCCUUCUUCCCUUGCCCUUCUAGAUUGCCACUCCUGGCUCUUGCGCCUUUAGACUCAGACUGGAAUUUACACAGGUGGCCCCUCAUUUCUCAGCCCCUUAGAUUCAGACUGAAUUACAGCUUUCCUAGUUCUCCAGCUUGUAAAUGGCAGAUCUUGGGAUUUUUUGGCCUCAAUAAUCACAUGAGCUAAUUUGUAUAGUAAGUCCCCUCAUCUAUAUAGCUGUAUAUAUAUCUAUAGCUCUCUAUCAAUCCAUCCAUCCUAUUGGUUCUGUUUCUAUGGAGAACCCUGAAUAAUACAAUAUGGAAUCUAAAACAAUCAAAUUCAUAGCAGAGAAUAGAAUGGUUGUUGCCAGGGGCUGGGGUGAGGGGGAAUGGAGAGAUGGGAAAAGAGUACAAAGUUUCAGUUAUGUAUGAUAAAUAAGUCCUAGAGACCUAAUGUCUAGCAUAAUGACUAGUUAGAAAUACUAUAUUACAAACUUGAGAUUUGCUAAGAGGUGUUCUCGCCACACACAAAAAAGGUAAUUACAUUAGGUGAUGGAUAUGGUAAUUACCUUGAUGGUAGUGAUCAUUUUACAAUGUAUACAUUUAUCAAAACAUAAAAUUGUAGGGAUACCUGGGUGGCUUAGUCGUUGGAUGGCUGCCUUUGGCUCAGGUCACCAUCCCAGAGUCCUGGGAUUGGGCUGCCUGCUCAACAGGAGGCCUGCUUCUCUCACUCUCCCUCCCGCUCCCCCUACUUGUGUUCCCUCUCUAGCUCUGUCUCUCUCUGUCAAAUAAAUAAAAUCUUAAACAACAACAACAACAUCAAAUUGUAUACCUUAAAUAUAUACAAUUUCUAUUUGUCAGCUAUACCUUAUUAAACCCGAAACAAACAAGGAUAAAAACAUCCAGGUCAGAAGGAAAGAAGUAAAACAUUAUUUACUUUCAGAAGACAUAGUUUUCUAUAUAAGAAGUCCUAAGGAAUCUACACAGAAAAAACUAUUAGAACUAAUAAAUGAGUUUAGAAACAUUGCGGAUACAAGAUCAAUAUGAAAAUCAGUUGUAUUUCUAAAUACUAGUAAUUAACAAUUCAGAAAUGAAUUAAAGAAAGUAAUUUUAUUUAUAAUAGCAUCAAAAAGAAGUAUUAGGAACAACCAAGGAAAGGCAUGACUUUUACACUGAAAAUUACAAAACAUUAUUGGGUGAAAUUAAAUUAAUGGAAAUAUAUUCUAUGUUUAUAGAUUGGAGGGCUUAAUAUUGUUAAGAUGGUAAUACUACCCAAAAUGAUCUUCUGAAAAAAAAAUGAUCUGAUUCAAUGUAAUCGCUAUCAAAAUUUCAGAUGCCUGUUUUCCCCUAACAUUGGCAAUCUGAUUUAAAAUUCAUAUGGAAAUUCAAGGAACCUGUUAAGAGCUAAAAGAAUCUUGAAAAAGAGCAACAAAGUUGGAGGACUCAUUUCCCUGUUUCAUAAUUUACUACAAUGGUACAGUAAUCAGAGCAGUGUAAUUUUGUCACAAAGAUAGUUCUAUAGAUCAGUGGGAUAUAGUUGAGAGUCCAGAAAUAAACCAGUAUGUCUUGAUUUUCAGUAAAGAUGCUAAGACAAUCAAUGGAAAAAGAACAGUCUUGUUAACAAAUCUUUCUGGGAAAACUAUACCCGUCCCACACUACAUAUGUGAAUUAACUCAGUGUAUCAAAGAACCUGUAUGUAAGAACUGGAACUGCAAAAUUAUUACAAGAAGGCAUAGGCGUUUUUGUAUUUUUUGGUAAAUACCCAGUAGUGCAAUAACUAGAUUGUAGGAUAGUUUUAUUUUUGAGGACCCUCUACUUUCUUCCACAGUUGAUGCACCAGUUUUCCUUUCUACCAACAGUGCAGGAGGAUUCCUUUUUCUCCACAUCUCGCUGAUACUUCUUUCUUGUGGUUUUGAGUUUAGCCAUUCUCACAGGUGUGAGCCGAUAUUUCACUGUAGUUUUAAUUUAUAUUUCUUUGAUGGUGAAAUAGGUGGUAGAGUUUAAGGAGUGCACUUGUGAUGAGCAGUGCGUGUUGUAUGGAAUUGUUGAAUCACUAUAUUGUACACGUGAAACUAAUAUAAUGCUGUGUGUUAAUUAUGCUGGAAGUAAAAUAAAAACAAUUUAAAAAA